This is a small nuclear RNA of Eubalaena glacialis (North Atlantic right whale), 102 nucleotides long. NCBI's taxonomy places the organism in Eukaryota, Metazoa, Chordata, Mammalia, Artiodactyla, Balaenidae. The record is from RefSeq and is a predicted model, not a curated record.
GUGCUCACUUCGGCAGCACAUAUACUAAAAUUGGAACGAUACAGAGAUUAGCAUGGCCCCUGCACAAAUUUGUGACACACAAUUUGUGACACACAAAUUUGU